Molecule: transfer RNA, 71 nt
Filed under: Loxodonta africana (African savanna elephant)
Lineage: Eukaryota; Metazoa; Chordata; Mammalia; Proboscidea; Elephantidae
Rfam family: tRNA
About the family: Transfer RNA (tRNA) molecules are approximately 80 nucleotides in length. Their secondary structure includes four short double-helical elements and three loops (D, anti-codon, and T loops).
Source: Rfam by way of RNAcentral
GCACUGGUGGUUCAGUGGUAGAGUUCUUGACUUACAUGCAGGAGACUUGGGUUCAAUUCCCACCCAAUGCA